This 497-nucleotide ribosomal RNA is filed under the name uncultured bacterium. RNAcentral describes it as "partial 16S ribosomal RNA". It matches the Rfam family "Bacterial small subunit ribosomal RNA", at positions 28 to 507 of the family's 1533-position model. The record is from RNAcentral.
GAUGAACGCUGGCGGCGUGCCUAAUACAUGCAAGUCGAGCGAACAGAGGGGGAGCUUGCUCCUCUGACGGUAGCGGCGGACGGGUGAGUAACACGUGGAUAACCUACCUAUAAGACUGGGAUAACUUCGGGAAACCGGAGCUAAUACCGGAGAAUAUAUUGAACCGCAUGGUUCAAUAGUGAAAGACGGUUUUGCUGUCGCGUAUAGAUGGAUCCGCGCCGCAUUAGAUAGUUGGUAAGGUAACGGCUUACCAAGGCAACGAUGCGUAGCCGACCUGAGAGGGUGAUCGGCAACACUGGAACUGAGACACGGUCCAGACUCCUACGGGAGGCAGCAGUAGGGAAGCUUACGCAAUGGGAGAAAGCCUGACGGAGCAACGCCGCGUGAGUGAUGAAGGUCUUCGGAUCGUAAAACUCUGCUAUUAGGGAAGAAAAAAUGUGUAAGUAACUAUGCACGUCUUGACGGUACCUAAUCAGAAAGCCACGGCUAACUACGUG